GCCCCUGUAGUUCAAUGGAUAGAACAACGGUUUCCUAAACCGUCGAUCCGGGUUCGAUUCCCGGCGGGGGUA
RNAcentral lists this transfer RNA (72 nucleotides) under Bacteroidaceae bacterium. RNAcentral's name for it is "tRNA-Arg". It matches the Rfam family "tRNA". From Rfam's summary of the family: Transfer RNA (tRNA) molecules are approximately 80 nucleotides in length. Their secondary structure includes four short double-helical elements and three loops (D, anti-codon, and T loops). The record is from RNAcentral. Lineage: Bacteria; Pseudomonadati; Bacteroidota; Bacteroidia; Bacteroidales; Bacteroidaceae. RNAcentral also lists the same sequence under 1 other name.